Molecule: ribosomal RNA, 253 nt
Filed under: uncultured bacterium
Lineage: Bacteria
Description: partial 16S ribosomal RNA
Rfam family: Bacterial small subunit ribosomal RNA
Source: RNAcentral
UACAGGGGGUGCAAACGUUGCUCGGAAUCAUUGGGCGUAAAGCGCACGUAGGCGGUUCGUUAUGUCGGAUGUGAAAGCCCUUGGCUUAACCGAGGAAGUGCAUCCGAAACUGGCGAGCUAGAGUACUAAAGAGGAUCGCGGAAUUCCCGGUGUAGAGGUGAAAUUCGUAGAUAUUGGGAAGAACACCGGUGGCGAAGGCGGCUCUCUGGACCGAGACUGACGCUGAGGCGCGAAAGCGUGGGGAGCAAACAGG